Molecule: ribosomal RNA, 729 nt
Filed under: uncultured bacterium
Lineage: Bacteria
Description: bacterial SSU rRNA
Rfam family: Bacterial small subunit ribosomal RNA
Source: RNAcentral
GAUUAGAUACCCCUGUAGUCCUGGCCGUAAACGAUGAACACUAGGUGUCGGGGGAAUCGACCCCCUCGGUGUCGUAGCCAACGCGUUAAGUGUUCCGCCUGGGGAGUACGCACGCAAGUGUGAAACUCAAAGGAAUUGACGGGGGCCCGCACAAGCGGUGGAGUAUGUGGUUUAAUUCGAUGCAACGCGAAGAACCUUACCAGGGUUUGACAUCCUGCGAAUCUCUUGGAAACAGGAGAGUGCCUUCGGGAACGCAGUGACAGGUGGUGCAUGGCUGUCGUCAGCUCGUGUCGUGAGAUGUUGGGUUAAGUCCCGCAACGAGCGCAACCCACGUCUUUAGUUGCCAGCAUUUAGUUGGGCACUCUAGAGAGACUGCCGGUGAUAAACCGGAGGAAGGUGUGGAUGACGUCAAGUCAUCAUGCCCCUUACAUCCUGGGCUACACACGUACUACAAUGCUACGGACAAAGGGCUGCAAGUUCGCGAGGACAAGCAAAUCCCAUAAACCGUGGCUCAGUUCAGAUCGUAGGCUGCAACUCGCCUACGUGAAGGCGGAAUCGCUAGUAAUCGCAGGUCAGCAUACUGCGGUGAAUACGUUCCCGGGCCUUGUACACACCGCCCGUCACACCAUGGAAGUUGGCCACGCCCGAAGCCGUUACUCCAACCCUUGUGGAGGAGGACGUCGAAGGUGGGGCUGAUGACUGGGGUGAAGUCGUAACAAGGUAACCGUA